GAUGAAGAACGCAGCGAAAUGCAAUAAGUAAUGUGAAUUGCAGAAUUCCGUGAAUCAUCGAAUCUUUGAACGCACAUUGCGCCCCCUGGUAUUCCGGGGGGCAUGCCUGUCCGAGCGUCAUUGCAACCUUCAAGCGCGGCUUGUGUGUUGGGUCUCGUCCCCCGUGGACGGGCCCGAAAGGCAGUGGCGGCGUCCCGACAUGGUGCCCGAGCGUAUGGGAAUCCUCUUCCGCUCGAAUCGGCCCAUGCGGCGCUGGUCGUAACCAAAUUUUUUACCGGUUGACCUCGGAUCAGGUAGGGAUACCCGCUGAACUUAAGCAUAUCAAUAAGCGGAGGA
RNAcentral lists this unclassified non-coding RNA (336 nucleotides) under soil metagenome. RNAcentral's name for it is "partial contains 5.8S ribosomal RNA, internal transcribed spacer 2, and large subunit ribosomal RNA". The stretch from base 1 to 120 matches the Rfam family "5.8S ribosomal RNA", at positions 35 to 154 of the family's 154-position model. The record is from RNAcentral.